Molecule: non-coding RNA, 166 nt
Filed under: chicken gut metagenome
Description: Lysine riboswitch
Rfam family: Lysine riboswitch aptamer
About the family: Riboswitches are metabolite binding domains within certain messenger RNAs that serve as precision sensors for their corresponding targets. Allosteric rearrangement of mRNA structure is mediated by ligand binding, and this results in modulation of gene expression. This family includes riboswitches that sense lysine in a number of genes involved in lysine metabolism, including lysC.
Source: RNAcentral
GAUGAUAGAGGUGCGAAGCUCAUCAGUAGCCCUGGGGAGGCGCUCAACCGCCGUUGAGUCAGGGGGAAAGGGGGAUUCGCCGAAAUGGAGAGCCGGGUUGAGCGGCGCUUUGUUGGGCGUCGGGAGAAGAUCCCGCCGACUGUCACCUUGUGUGGAGCGCUAUCGG